CCGUGACGUCAUCAACGUUUUUCGUGGUUUUCUACGGUUUAAAAUGGAAUUUAGAAUUAAAUUAUAAGAAAUGACUGUAAUAUUUUUUUCUGUCUAUUCGAAAUAACAUAAAAAAUGUGGUGCACACUGUUUAAUAACCCGCCACGCGCGUUUAUCAGUGUGCACCAAAUUUUUUAUGUUCUUUCUUCAUAGACAGAAAAAAUAU
RNAcentral lists this long non-coding RNA (205 nucleotides) under Mytilus galloprovincialis (Mediterranean mussel). The record is from RNAcentral. Lineage: Eukaryota; Metazoa; Mollusca; Bivalvia; Mytilida; Mytilidae.